This 489-nucleotide ribosomal RNA is filed under the name uncultured bacterium. Its description in RNAcentral is "bacterial SSU rRNA". It matches the Rfam family "Bacterial small subunit ribosomal RNA", at positions 26 to 507 of the family's 1533-position model. The record is from RNAcentral.
GGCUACGAGGACGAACGCUGGCGGCGUGCCUAACACAUGCAAGUCGAGCGAGAAUUUAGUAAUUGAUCCCUUCGGGGUGAUUUUGCUAAGGAAAGCGGCGGACGGGUGAGUAACGCGUGAGUAACCUGCCCUUUGGAGUGGGAUAACACAGAGAAAUCUGUGCUAAUACCGCAUAAUAUAUGUUUACCGCAUGAUAGACAUAUCAAAGAUUUAUCGCCAAAGGAUGGACUCGCGUCUGAUUAGAUAGUUGGUGAGGUAACGGCUCACCAAGUCGACGAUCAGUAGCCGAACUGAGAGGUUGAUCGGCCACAUUGGGACUGAGACACGGCCCAGACUCCUACGGGAGGCAGCAGUGGGGAAUAUUGCGCAAUGGGGGAAACCCUGACGCAGCAACGCCGCGUGAAGGAAGAAGGUCUUCGGAUUGUAAACUUUUGUCUUAUGGGAAGAAUUUUGACGGUACCAUAGGAGGAAGCCACGGCUAACUACGUG